RNAcentral lists this small RNA (416 nucleotides) under Atta cephalotes. RNAcentral's name for it is "sRNA LOC105623043". The record is from RNAcentral. Lineage: Eukaryota; Metazoa; Arthropoda; Insecta; Hymenoptera; Formicidae.
GGGACGAAAAGGAGAGGGUGGAAAGAAAGGGCAAUGGGAAGAGGGAGAAGUAUGGGCACGUGAAGAGGUCAAGGUGACAGGAGGGGGAAUCAUUGCGAAGGUCACGAACAGCACCGGCGCACCACUGACCUUUAAAAGCUGCGUAUCGUUUGUUCCUGCUACAGUUCGGUUUUGGAGCUUUUAGAAAUCAGACUGAGCUUAUACAUCACACGCGCGCGAUUCACUCAACGCAUGACUGUCAAGAAUAAAAGAUUACAUCGCUGACAAAUUUUCAGCGAAAAAUAAGAGGAAGCAUUGAUACGACACGUAUUCAAGGUACAACAAGAAAUAUAACGAAGAAGAGUGACGUAUGCGUGAGAAGACAACAACUGUAUAGCGAAGAGCAAGUACGAGCAAACAAUAACAAAAGAAAAAAA